This 86-nucleotide transfer RNA is filed under the name Apiotrichum porosum. Its description in RNAcentral is "Trichosporon porosum tRNA". It matches the Rfam family "tRNA". Rfam says of the family: Transfer RNA (tRNA) molecules are approximately 80 nucleotides in length. Lineage: Eukaryota; Fungi; Basidiomycota; Tremellomycetes; Trichosporonales; Trichosporonaceae. The record is from Rfam by way of RNAcentral.
AUCGCUAUGGCUUAGUGGGAAAGCGCCAGGCUCAUACCACUGUUGUGAUCACCUGGAGAUCCCUCGAUCGAAACGAGGUGGCGAUA